GACGAACCGUGCGAACGUUAUUCGGAAUCACUGGGCUUAAAGCGCGUGUAGGCGGGACGGCACGUCGGUCGCUGAAAGCCCCCGGCUCAACCGGGGAACGGGCGCCGAUACGACCGUCCUGGAGGGACGUAGGGGGACCUGGAACAUCCGGUGGAGCGGUGAAAUGCGUUGAGAUCGGAUGGAACGCCCGUGGCGAAAACGAGGUCCUGGACGUUUUCUGACGCUGAGACGCGAAAGCCAGGGGAGGCGAAACGGG
RNAcentral lists this ribosomal RNA (256 nucleotides) under uncultured bacterium. Its description in RNAcentral is "partial 16S ribosomal RNA". It matches the Rfam family "Bacterial small subunit ribosomal RNA", at positions 524 to 776 of the family's 1533-position model. The record is from RNAcentral.